AAAAUGCGAAACCGUAGACGCGAAACAGUCGACGUCAGUGCAUUGUUAAAAGUAGUCGUCAAAGUGUCGAACUAGAACUAAUAAAAAAUUGAAACCUUCUAGGUUAUCACUUCUCAGCUUACAGUAAUGGCACACUGCCAAUGUGUGUAGUUGCAUGAGAGUUCAUGGUCCUGUUAAAGCACAAACCAAGCCCCACGAGUACUUUUUGGAGGCCAGCUUUCACACAUUCUGUGAAACCACUCUUUACAUCCCGUACACUCUAUGGUGUGCCAAGCCUGUGUUCUUGUGGAAUUCAGUGGGUGAUAAUCUAUUCUUCGACAACUGCAGGAAUGCUGACAUAACUUUACUUAACAGGCAUUUUUUCAAAUGUUGCCUCAUGACGCCCCUGUUAUAGAUGGACUGUGAUGGAUCUUCGCCCAAUGCUAGAGUUAUGGCAUUUGCAAUCGCAUGAAGGCCACAAUCAUUCGGCAAUUGCUGCUGACAUCCAACACUUUGAUCCUCCCAAACUAUCAUAAAUGGAAACCGAAUCUUCUCCUUUCGAUUUGGAUGCCACAACCCAAUGCCCCUUGCCAUCGUGGAUUAUUUGUAUCCAUUUUUCACUAGGAGCAGCGGGAAAUUCCAGAUCCCAGCCGAGAGUCGUAUCAUAUAAUCCACCAAUAUUUGGAAACUGAUGUUUGAUCAGAUUUAUGGCUGCAUUGAUAUGGCUUGAUUCAAGCCAAUACCCCGGAACGGUAAUAUCUUCGAUUUCGGCUUUUGACAAAUUCACCUGUUGGUUUGAUCUCUGCGACCCACGGGUCUGAUAGUGAAAGACCGGAGUCUGAAAAUGUAAAUAGAUAAUUAGAUGUUGAACAUCAUUCGGUGAAUUAGCCUGCGACUUGUUGGCCGAAGAAUUGGCUGGCGAGCUGGUGAUGGAAGAAUUGGUUGGCGACAAGAUGGCCGAUUUGGCUGGUAAUUUUGUGGUCGGCGAAUUUGCAGAAGAAUUGGAACACGAGCUGGCCGGUGAUUUAGAUGGCGACAAGCUACACGAUUUGGCUGGUAAUUUUGUGGUUGGCGAAUUGGAAGCCAAGCUGGCCGGUGGUUGCGACAAACUAGCCGAUUUGGCUGGUAAUUUUGUGGUCGGCGAAUUUGCAGAAGAAUUGGAACACGAGCUGGCCGGUGAUUUGGUUGGCGACGAACUAGCCGAUGUGGUCGGCGAAUUGGAAGCCGAACUGGCCGAUGAAUUUGGUGGCGGCAAUGUUGGCGAUUUGGCGGGGGACGAAUUUGCUGACGACAAUCUGCCCGGUGAUUUGGUGACUGAAGACAAUAUGGCCAAUGAUUUGGUGGCUGAAGUCAGACUUGCUGUUGAAUUUGCUUGCGACUUGGUGGCCGGUGAAUUGGCUGUCGUCUUAAUGGAUGAAGAAAAGCAAUCCGGCGCUGAGGUAGCUUUGGAAUUUCCUGGCGGUAAGGUGACAAGUUUUGGUAGUGAUGUGAUUGGCCUGGCUGGUGAUUUGGGAGUCCACUUAACAGCUGAAAACCAACCCCUAUGAUUAGCAUUGAAAUUGAUUCUUUGUUUGAGGGAAUUGACUUAAACCCUAGCAUUACGAGGACUCGAUUCAAAGAGUUAAAUGGCGAUCUUUUCCGCUCUACCAUGGAACCUGUCGAGAAAGCCAUCCGUGUUCUGUGACACCAAUAUGGACAGAGCACAAAGCCCAGAUUCAAGAUAUCGUUCUCGUUGGUGGAUCAAUCCGUAUUCCGGAGGUGGAAAAGCUCUUGCAACAUUCCUUCAACGGAAAAGAGGUUAAGAAAUACAUCAAUCACGAUGAGGCCGUUGCCUACGGUGCGCUGUUCAAACUGCAAUUCUUCAGGGAGUCAAAUCUGAGGCUGUCCAAGAUCUUCAAAAAAUGAAUUGAAGUGAAAACUUACAGCGAAUUUUGCCAUGUUGAACAACUUGAUUUAUUGCAAGAGACAGAGAGAGAACUUGUGAAGUUGUGAUGUUAUUGUUGAUUUGCUGGUACAAACAACUGAUGACAGUGGACUCGAAGACGGUCGGUAUUUAUAGCAAGAAGGUAAAACCUGCCGGCCAUAUGGCCAGGGUGAGAAAGCGUAAAGCGGCAUACAUGCAUUCAUUGCCUUACUCAUUAUCAAAAUCAUUAACGGCGAAUUAUCUUGUGUAGAAUUGAUGCGCAAAUAGCUAUACCGACCAGUUUAAUAUCAGAAACUAUAUGUCUGUAAUUAUUGACUUUGUACUAAAAUAUGUAUGAAACAAACAGAACUUGUUACCAAGCCCAUCUUUGUUAUUCGGUAUUUAUGUAUAUUUGUUAUUCAAUUACUCUUUGAAUCUGUUCAUACUACAAUAAACGGUGGAAUUCAA
RNAcentral lists this long non-coding RNA (2350 nucleotides) under Daphnia pulex (common water flea). Its description in RNAcentral is "uncharacterized LOC124206158, transcript variant X3". The record is from RNAcentral. Lineage: Eukaryota; Metazoa; Arthropoda; Branchiopoda; Diplostraca; Daphniidae.